RNAcentral lists this long non-coding RNA (26109 nucleotides) under Xyrichtys novacula (pearly razorfish). The stretch from base 4355 to 4427 matches the Rfam family "mir-9/mir-79 microRNA precursor family". The record is from RNAcentral. Lineage: Eukaryota; Metazoa; Chordata; Actinopteri; Labriformes; Labridae.
ACCAUCAACCUCAUCUCCUCCCUCCUCUCCUCACCUCUUUCUCUCCGUCUGCUGCCGCUGCUCUCACAUCACACUCCUGUCUGUCUGUCUGAUGCGCUUUCUAUCCGGUAAGAGAGGAUUUUUAUGCACAAUAAAGGAGCCAGUUUAUGAUGAAUGCAGCAGGGAAAAUACACGAAGAUGUGAAGAGGGGGGGGAAAGCCACUAAACAAGAACAGGAGCUGUUAUGCACGUGAGAAACACGGGAUACGAGGUACAUCUCUCUCUCUCUCCCUCCCUUUCUCUCUCUCUCUAACUUGAUGCUACUGUAGGCCUAUUUAAAUGAACUGCAUAUUCCUUUAUUCUCUUAAUCAACACGAGAGUCUAAUUGGAGGUAUAAUUAUUGGAUUAAAGUCAAUAUUAUAAAACACGAAAUAGGUGAAGUGUUGUGUGCGUAAUUUUAGAUAUAUUUCAGUGUUUUAUUUUACUAGAGUUUCCGUAUUGGUGGUGUAAUUUGAUUAGAAUCAGAAUCAGAAUGUCCUUUAUUGUCAUCAUACUAAAAGUACAACCAGAUUGGAGAGCUUCUCUUUUUCCAGUGCAGUAGACAGGUAAAAAUAAGGUAGUAAAAGUAGUAAUAGUCGUAAGAAAGAAGGUACUAUAUAAACAAGACGAGUAUUUAUUGGUGCAUGUAGUCUUAAAGAAAAUUAAGUUACAUCUGAAAACGAAGCCAUAUUCCAAGUCCUAGCAAUCUCUCUUAAAUUAUUGCAAGCUCAUUUGUAUUAAAACUUGUUAUGGCGAAUAAUUGAUGAGUUUAAUUGAGAUAGUGUAAUAACAGCAACAUGGUCACAAUCAUUUUACGCAUGAUACGGCCUUUAGAGAGCCAAAGACUCAGCAGAAAAUCUCACCCAUGUCCUGACAGGUUUUUUUUUUCCUAAUCUCGCGAUUAAUCGACGCUAAAGUUUCUGCAAACUCCUGAAUACUUAAUGAGGCCAUGUGCUCAUGAGAGAAGUAUUCGUGUAUUAAGAAGAAGAGGAGGAGGUGGAGGUGGUGGAGGAGGAGGUGGAGGAGGAGGCCCGGGCAGCGCUGCAGUGCAGAGUUCAGCAGAGAUAUUGUUGUGAGCCUGGGAAAGUGUAGCGGGGCUGACGCCAGACUCGGUCAGGCAGGGAGGGGGGGCACCUCGAGGAUCCCAGACCGGAUUGUCAUGCUAAUGUCUCCCCGGCACGUUGUUGAACUUGAUGUUGACUUCUUUCUUUACUGGGGGGUGAGACAGAAGGGGAGGAGGAGGAGGGGGGUGAAAUUUUCCCUGUCACUUGUUUGUGGGAAAAUCCAAGUGAGGACACACACACACACACACACACACACACACACACACACACACACCAGUUUUUAACAGUCACUACAGUUGAUUUAAUCCUGAUGCAUUAUAUUUCUCAGAAUUAAUACAUUCAAUUCAACUGUAUAUCUUAAAAACCCAAUUGGCUUGUGGUUAAACAUCUUGAAAUACUAACUUGAACAACUCAAACAUUUAUUCCAACAAAACAAGUAUUUUAUGGGAUUGCUUUCAAGUGCUAAAUUUUUGCUUAACUCGGAUAUAGAAAAAACUCUUGUGCAAAAUCUGACCAGAACAGAGUCUAAUAUUUAUAUUUAAUUCAAAAUUGUAAUUUUAAAUUGUGUCUUUAAUUUGUUUCUUGGAUUGAACAUGUCUCUUCAGAAUUUGAGUUUGCAAGGAUACAGAGAUACACGUGCAUUCUCACGCCCUCCUUGCGCAUGCUCAAGAGGAUUGACAUUUGUAGCUCCAGUUAAAAUGCAAAUGCAGUAACGAUGGGUUAGUUUUAAAGGAAGUGUGUGUAGGCCUUCUUCAGCCGUGCACAGUGUGAUGUUAGUUCAAUUACAUUAGGACAGCACUAGAGUCACAGCUGAUUACAUCUACUUAGAAAUGAUGAAGAGUCCGGCUCCUCAUAAAUGAUGAAGAGGAGAACAGCAGUGAUACAGUAUGGAGGAGGUGGUCCUGUGCUGCACCUCCAUGAUACUAACAGAUUGCUCAUGCGCAAUAAUCAGAUAUGUAGCUGCUAUCUGAUGCAAGCUUCGUUGGGAAACCCGGACUGUAGCUGCUCUAUGCUCUGUUAUUGGUUUACCUUUACACACACACACACACACACACACACACACACACACACACACACACACACACACUCCAGCACCUUUUUAAAUAUCAUUUCAAACUUUGAAAGAUAUUACAAGUUGCUAUUCUCGUCUCUGCUUGGCUUCUUUUAUCAAACAGUGUGAUUAUUAUCGCUCGCACUAUCUCAUCUCCUCAGCACAGAUAUCUUUCAUAUCAUAACAUCACUAUCGAUAAGGCUGCAUAUAUUCCCUGAAUAUGUUAUCAGAGUUUGGCUAGCUGUGGGUCCUCUCUGCACCAAGGACAGGAACCAGGAAUUCCUCUGCUCAGUAUGAAUUUCUGUAUUUUUUGUUGGCUAUACUAGACUUAAAAUCAGUGCCCUUGCAGCAUCUUUUUGUCCUCUGCACAUUAUAGACACCUAAGAUCAGAAAAUACACUAUAAUAUUUUUUAUUAAUGCCCCACAAAUGCCAUUAAAGGUCGUAUAGCCUAUUUAAAAAAGCUAUAACAAUAAGAAUGGGGAAAAUGUGCUCUAAAAGCCACAGUCAACCUACAUACAGAAGUAGGGCAGCUGAGAUACUUUAUAACGUAUCUGGUUAUAUUUUUACAAUUAGCUACACAAUAUAAAAGAGAGCUAACGCUUUCAUCUCAAGUUGUUUUAUUAACGUUUUUUGUUUUAGCCUCCUAAACUGACCUUAAAAACCUUAAUUAAAUGAAACAUCUCGACAGCUAUUUUAUGUUGAGGAGUAUUAGCUUAUAACACAACAACAGUUCUGAUAAAUAAGCUAAAUGCUCUUUGAAGAUGGCUGUUUUUUUCUCCAGAAUAUUGAAUUCGAGAGAUUUUUUCUGGACUGCUAUGAACUACAAUUAUAAAAAUAAAGAGCAGUUGUCAGAGAAAUUUCUACCGUAUGGGUUUUUCAUACAAUGCUGAAUUAAUUUCACCAAAAUAUACCUUUUAUCGAUGUUAAAAACUGUAAAUGUCACAUAACUCCACCUGCCCCCCCAUUCCCCCUCUUUUUAAACUUAUCUUCACGCGCUUCUUCUCUGUCUUCUCAUUGGUCUGUUGUCUAAUGAGGAUAAUUGGUGCAAUAAACCACUGAUUGACGCACACCUGCUUUCAAUUUCCAAUAGGCUUUAAUUACUCUCUCUCUCUCUCUCUCUCUCUCUCUCUCUCUCUCUCUCUCUCUCUCUCUCUCUCUCUCUCUCUCUCUGAGGCGGAGUUUGUCCCCUCUGCUCUCUCUCACUGGGUGCACGCUCUGCACUUGUCAGUCAGUCGCAGCUCGCGCGUGCGGGAGGGAGGGAGGACACAUUGAAGCUCAUAGAAAGCUCGUGCGACAGUUUUAUCCUCGAUGAUUAUUUGUUUUUUUUUUUACUCUAUUUCCUCUGAUUGGAUGCGUUCAGAUCACGCAUCGAUCUCGGCGGGAUUGAAAUAGUUGGAGGAUAUUGACUGGAGUGGAGUUAGCUUAAUGUGCAAGUAAGUGGGAUGCUGCCUUUAUGUGAUUGAGUUGUCUCUGGCUUCUGUGUAUUUAUAUUUUAUUUUAGUCCACAGCCUGCUUUUUAAAGGCAGUUGCAUGUAUUCCUGGAGGCUGCUUAAUUCUGGUGUGUUUCUUGUAAACUGUAGCUGUGACAUUAGCAUUAAAGGAUGUUUGGUGGGAACUUUAUUGUCUUAAAGGCCCACUGCUGUGUGCCUCAAAACUGAUGCAGUCCUAACAAUGUAUAUAUAAAAAAUAACAACAACCCUGACAGCCUAAAAAAUGGGUUUAUUUACCACCAAAUGAUUGGGACAGGGUUGCAAAUGGAUGGGUUAGUGUGUCUGAUAAGGCCUUGCUUCAAGUGUUUCAAGGCAAAAAGUGCCACCUCAGCAUCAAACCGAGACUGUGGUUGAGCAUGCUUAGAGUUUUGGCAUCACAGUGUGUUUUAAAAUGGUUUCUUAAAGUUGAACUUCAUGAUGGGCCGAGAUGUGUGAGUGUGUGUGGAUGUGAAACACGUCUUUGAAGCCAGUGCCUCAUUUUAUUCAUCUAUUGAACUUGUUUUCAUCUCCUUAUGAGAAUUUCACAGCUGAAAUCCACGGUAGAGCUUUUCUUUUAUUGUGCAUCUUGUCUAUAUGUUUUGUGUGUGUGUGAGUGAGUGAGUGAGUGUGUGUGUAUGAGGAGCUCAGUGUGAACACAGGCAGCCUCUCUUUCGCUCUCUCUCCCUCCUUCAUCCUCUCCUCUCUCUCUGUUGGUGUUGGAGGGGCGGCCCCUUUAAGAGACGACGGGUGUUAGUUUGUGUCUUUGGUUAUCUAGCUGUAUGAGUUUUAAUUUCAUAAAGCUAGAGAACCGAAAGUACGAACUGACGCCGAGCACUUCGGAACCCAGGUGAUGAUGGGGGGGAUCCUCUCGCUCGCUCCGGCAUGGAGGAGGAAGAGGGGGAGGAGGAGGAAGCAGCAGCGGCAGGAGGAAAGCAGCAGCAGGGACGGAUGCUGAGGGGAGGCUGCACGAGGCUUCCGUGGAGGAGGAGGAGGAGGAGGUUGUGGAGGUUUUAGAGCUCGAGCAGAAACCCCCGGUGUGAUGUGAAUGUCGUUGGUCCACCUCAGGUUCAGAGGAGUCCUCCGCGUGUCUGCGAGCGCGUGAAUGUUGCUGCGUUUAAGGGGCUCGUGUUGUGGGCACCGCGGUGAUGCUUAAGGCCUAUAAUGAUGAAGAAAAUUGACAUUUCGUUGAAACGUUGCGCAUGUGGACAGUGCGCACCAAAACCUCCUCCGUGUGUUGUCGAGUAGUUGUCAUAACUGUGUGGGUGUUCUUACAUUAAUAUCUGGAGGGGCUUGACAGAAAUAGUUAAAAGAUUCCUCUGAUUGGUCCAACCUGGAAUCACGUGACAGUGUUGGCAGCAGCAGUAACUCGGUAUUUCAGAUCUCACAUGUUGGUUAUUGUGUUCUCUUUCCAGGUGGAGAAGUUAGCAUUGAGCAGCAAGGCCCCAUUAAUUAGAUUAAUUAGUUCUCUUGGGUUGCAUCUAGACUCCCUCACUCCCUUGUUUGUUUCUUUCAUUAUGUUGUUGACUAACUAUUUCCUCCUGGCUGUAAAGGAGUGUUAACUAUAAUAGUGUAAAAGGGUUUGGAAUGGUCUGAUCAAGUAUUUUAGCUCUGUGAAUUAAAAACAUACAUUUGUUUUGUUUCAGUUUUUUCAGGGUCACCUAAUGUGGGGUGUUUGACCAUUUGCUACCAAACCAAAACAUGCAGCAUAUACACCACAUCCAGAUCACCAGUGCAAACAAAAAAAAAAGAAAAACAGGCCCUAUGCACCACCAUCUUCAUCCUGUUUCCAACAUGCUCUCAUCACUGCGUUUGAAUCCGGGUUAGACAUGGCAGAUGCGUUCAAAUUUGUGUUUUGCAGGGUGGAUUAUUUUUGUGUUUGCCUGCUAGAUAAGAACAAAAUAGGACAUGGGCUCAGAGUUUGAUCUAUUCUUAGAGCGGAAUCAGCGAGCCUCGGAGAUGACUGAAUAUCCCUGAAGUCCCAGCAUGCUCUAUUUAGACCAUGACUGACAACAUUUGAUGUGCGCCGUUAGACAAGAGAGCCGGGAUGGUGUGUGAGCGAGUGUGCGUGUGUGUGUGAGUGUUGUUGAUGCUUGCAUAUGUGAACUAAUGUGCUAACAUACGAUUUGACCCCCAUGUCCUCCAUCUUGGUGUGAUACAAAGCAGAUCCUGGUGACGAUUCCACCUCAAUGGUUACAGAUUUUAGCAAAGGCAUUGUUGCGUCCUAUAAACAGUCAGUAGCAUAUGGCAACUUUGCUGCUGCUCUGGAGACAUAUACCACACAUCAUUGUUUUUUGGUGUGUUUUUCUUCUUAAUGUGUGACUCUUCCAGCGUCACUUUAUGUUUUUUGCUUUUCUUAAGCUGUUGAUUUACUGUUGAAGCAACAGAAAAUAUAAACAUGCUCUCUCAGGAGCAAAAUAAUUAAAAGUGUGUGGAGAAAAAAAAGCAAACAUGAAGUGCUGUUAGCUGCAAGGUCAACAACACUGCAUUCAUUUCUUCUUUUCUUCCACUGCAUUGAAAGCCUCUAUUUAUCCCUUAAGUGAUUUGUUUUGUUGAAAAGUAAGCAUACCCUGAUCUUCUUUUCUUUUCUUUUCUCUUGAUAGGAAAAUGACACCACCUCGGGAUAAAGACAAGCUGCCACCAGACAGGAUGAGGAGCGACAGAGAGCCUGCAGGUAAAUAUCAGAGAAACAUUGAGAAAUUAUCCCCUUGUUACAAGAUAAUGCUGCUGAAAGCACCAAGAGUUUGGGUGUUUGGGUAUUUAACCUUGUACAUAUUUUGUACGUAUCUUUGAUGUUUUGAAGUUGUCACUGUCAGUGUUUGCUAAUAGGAGCUCUCAGAUGGUUUCAUUUUUUAGAGUCUUGCAUAAGUGAUGGUGCAGCAUUCCUGGUUCUUGAUUUUCUUCCAUAUUUGUUGAGCUGUGAGGAUGGAGCUUGUUGUGUGUGUGCAUGUGUGUGUGUGUCGUGUGGGUGUUAAAAAAAAAAAAAGUCUGACCCUGUAUUUCUGAAAUAUUGAGGAUUUUCUGUUUUGCAUCAAGAAUGACUUGUGCUGUAGUGGACCACGCACGUCUUAUUCAAGCAGGAAGGAGCGUUAAGCGGGACAUUUAUAAGCUGGUUUUACUCGGCCACAGUGUAAAUGUCUGUUUUAUAUCAUCCAUAUAUGUAUCAUUCAGACUGUGUGGAGCUAUAGUACCCUACAGCACCACAGAGUAAACGCUGUGAUUUGAGCUAGUGAAGUAAGACCUCCAUAUUGAAUUCCAUCAUUCCUUUGAAGUAUUAACAUCUUUUACAUUGUACAUCACCCCCAUCCUCCUCCUACACACACACACACACAUGCACACACACGUCUCUCUUUCAUACUCUCACGUCCAGCGUUUUAUCCCUUUAAACACUGUGAUCCUAUUUGUCAGGUAGAGUGUGUGGUAGGUGCAGGGGAGGUGGCCGUGUAAUCUUUGCUGCGGUUCUUUAUCCCGUUAGGAGAACGCGUACGACGUUUGGAGCUGCUCAUGUGGAAAGAGCGUUUGGGUGGCUCUGUCCUUUUUGGCGCUAAUGCCUAGACAAGUCACCCUCCCCUCGCUCAAAGUCUCCUGAUUAUUGUGAGCAAAGUGACGGCAUGCAUAGAGGUAUGCAUGGUUUAGCGAAGGCAGCAUUAGGUCAAAGUUGGAAUAUCGUAGAUUACAAAAGGGAGCUAGGAAGUUAAGCACAGUGAGAAGUUUAUUUUUUCACUUUUAAAUCAAAAUUUAAUUCCCAAAUCUUUUGGCUCUUGAGGAAUAAAAUGUUUUGGUGUUAUUUUAGCGAGGACUGAAACAGACAUUCCUCGCUUUUCAGUUGUCUGUCUUUUCCCUCCAAUUCCACCCCCAAAAAAGUCCCACGUUAGGAAUUAAACAAUAAGUACACAUUGUUAGCAAGGUCAAAUCUUCAUGGUUCCACAACCUUGAGGCUCAAUCUAAAGCUCAGUUAUUCAAAUUUAGUGUGGCGUUCUUUAAGGCGCCCAGAUUUUCCCAAGCUUUCGAUUAGCAUAUGCAAGGGCCGGCCUGUGCUGCUGUUUUCUAAAGUGGAUGUAAAUUAUAACCUCAGUAUUAUACAGGCUGAUGGGAGAUAAAUCUCUGCAGUAAUGCAUUGCAGGGAGUGGGGGUAGGGUGGGUGGGGGUGCUGUAAAGGGGUUGUGCGUUUGUGUGUGUGUGUGUGCGAGGUACUGUACAAUAGCCGGUGGCAGAUGGAAUACAGACUAGCAAAGGGCUGGCUGAUAGCAUGCUAAACUCCCUUUUUACCGGCUUUAGUUUGUCCGAUUUUUACAGAUCCUGGACAAAAAAGCAGAGAUUUUCAGAGGAGAUACUUCUGAAAUAAAAAUGUUAAAUCAGCUACAUUACUGGCGAGAUGAAUUUGCAAGUGUGUACACAUUGUUUUAAAACAAAUAUUAACACAGGAAGAUUACUAAGUCGAAAUCUGCACUUGUGCGGUCCAAAGGGCUGAGGCUUCAGGCCUCACGAGCUGAGUGCAGAUCUUUUUGGAAUCUCUAUGCAAACUAGGGCUUGAAUAAUGAGAUGUAUUUAUGAAGGGCUGGGAAGGGGGUCCCUGCUUUUGAAAGCAAGUAGGCCGGAGCCUGAAUGGGAUGGAGGGAGGUGGGGUUGAAGGAGAAGGAGGGGGGGAUGAGGGGUGUGUGUGUGUGUGUGUGAGAAGAGGGGGUACAGGGGGCCCCCAGCAGCCCGGGCCUCGGCUGAGGCAGCUGUGAAAAGGGGUCCCGUCUUUUUCCCACGCCCAGCAAGACGCGAAACACUGCCGCGGCUCGCUAGGGUCAAGUCCCAUCGCUAAUAUAUACACGCAUACAUACACACGCACGCACGCACACGCGGGGAGAGCGAGGGAGAGUUGUGUGUGUAAAAGUUGUGCAAAUUAACAAGCUGUCUGGGAAGCUCUGUGACAUAGGGACACCUGCUAUACUCCCAGAAUGCUUUGCAGCCUCAUCAAGGGCCACUGGGACAACAAUUAGGUCAUAGCUUCAACUUGAACUUAAAAAUUGGCUGAAGAUUGAAAAGAGUCUGGAUCAUAUUUCUCUCUGCUGUUUUCGAUCUAAACGUUAAAAAAAUAAAAAUAACACUUUAAUGAUUCUGCUCUUGCUAAGUUUUAAAAAUACAGUUUCUAAAAUAGUUUUCUAAAAUAGUGAUCAUUGUUAGAUUUUGAAGGAAAACGUGCUUUUUUUUAUUUUUGCAACUCUAGUGUGCAAAAACACAAGUAAAUGCUGAAAUGUUGAACUUGUACGAUUGUUGCUGUGUCCAUUGACGCAGAGACAAACUUGGCCUUGUGCUUGAUCCGAGACCCUAACUGUCAACUUGGCAUUGUCUGUCUGCACACACCCAUGAUCCCACCCACCCACACGCACGCACACACACAGAGCUUGUCUCAGGGACACACAAAAGAGAAUUUGAACAUGAAUUGGAGGAAGGUUGGAGAAAGAUAUUGAGGAAUGUUUUAAGUCUGAACUCUGACCUUUUGUGCUUCUUUAAAUUUGAAAACAGGCACAAUGUGAGAGACCAAAAACACUGACGACCGACGAUGAGCCUGAAAAGAGAGGCAAAAAUCCUACUCUUAAAAAAUAAUCUCCUUGGUCUAAAUCUUGUGUGAAAUUGUAGUUUCUUGUUUAGAUAUCAGCUUGUAUCUUUGACCACCCAUUGUUGUUUACAGCAGCCAUGCUCCUUUCUUCCUCUUGAAGCUGGUGUCACACCCAUUCCUCCCCUCAAGAUACUGGCACACCAAUCAAAUCGGUGCAUCACUUCUUUCACUCCCCGCCGUAGCUGCAUCAGAGCGGUGUCACACUUAUUCUCUUCCCCCUGCCUACUCCAGCUACUUUCUUGAAUUCCACAUGGAGACUCUCCUGUUAUGGUUUUUAGAAUAUUAGCAAAAGCAUCCAAUCUUUUUCUUUUUUUGGUGUCUCACCCUCCUCCUCCCCUGCUCCUCCUCCUCCUCCUCUUCGUCAUCAUUUUCCCUCCUAUUCAGAGAAGUCUGAAAUAGAGAGGGGGCUCCUUCUAAUUAGCUCUGUAAAGAUGCUUUGUGGCGGUCAGUGUGGCCACCAGUGUGUGCAGAGAGAGGUGAUGUGUGACAGCUAGUGUUAGCAUUAAGAACAUGUGUAUGGGCCCUUAAUGAGGUUUGUUAGCUGAGUGUGUAUCCUGCCGUUUGAAUGCACCCUCGGCAGCCUUUGAAGGAACGGAGAUGAAGAGAGCGAGGAGGAGGAGGUGGAAAAGGAGAGAGGAGUCUUUCAGCGUGGCAGGUUGCAGAAUACAGAUUAUGCAUUAUGCUCAGUGUGGUUUCUAUUUGAACGGAAGAUGAGGGGAGCAUAAUGCUUCACUUGCACGUUGUCUGGGGAAAACGUGGGAAAUAAACGCAGGUCAUCUCGCUCAUCAGAUGUAAAGGAGUUAUUUACCUGGUCUUAUGACAUUUGCAGUGAUUCCAGUAAGUCUUAACGGUAUAAGAUAAGCGAAACAGGAGAGCGAUAGAGCUGAUUUCCUGUAAAUAUAAGAUCAAAAUUCAUCUCUAUGUUUGUAUUUUAUGUAGUUUUUUUUUAAGGUCAAGCUUAUUAACAAGAUAUAAAAAGAAAGGGUAAAAAAAAUAGUAAAUGAUAAUAUAAAAUCAGUUAGAAGAGAGCUAACAAAAACAUCCAAAUUAAGAUUAGACGCGACAAAUUUAAAUAACCAAAUAAAAUAUCUAAAGAGCCAAAUGGAGAUAUAUAACUGCACAUCCUCAAUCCUGUUAGACCAGAUCAUGUUGAUGUACAGUAUGAUUCAGAAAGGACUCCCAUACGUUAUAAAAUGUUUAAUUAUUGUCACGCCGCCAAGCUUCUGGUGCAUGAGAGGCCUUAUGCUAAUUCGUUUAUAAUAUGUAGUCAUGAAUGGGGCAAAGAAGGACAGGAGCGAACUCACUGGAAAAGAGAGCACCAUUUAUAAAUCUGUAUUGGGACACCGAAGUGUUUGGAUCACCAAUUAUUUGUUAGUUUUUCUGCUUUUAAGGAUUUUACAAUGAGGAAACACACUACUGUUCAUCCAUGGAUAGACAAUCAGGAAAUAAUAAUCAUGUACUAUGAGGUGAGAAACAAACAUUUCAGACAGAAUGUGGAGCAGAUUUGGUGGUUAUCCUGGAGAUUAGAGAUGUCGAGCUGCAGAUGAGAGCCAGAGGUGGAAGGUAGAAGCUGAGAAAAACCAGGUUGGGAAAUGAGGGAUUGUAUGGAGGCAAAGAGGCGACCUGCUGGGCUUGCCUGCUGCCUCACAGAUUGUAAACUGUCACUCAGGAUGCACACAGACAAGCAGACAGACAUCAUUUGCCCACAUCACCCUCUACUACUGAAACUGUCGCCCCGCAGCCCCCUACUGCUCCCCUUCUUUUUCCUUCCCUUCACUCCAUUUCCAGGCCUUUUUCUCCUUGGCGCGUGCACAUGCAUGUAUAUAAACUCCCUAAUCUAUUUCCUCUAUUUUCCAGCUCCUCUCCUCUACUUUUCUCUCUGUCUCCGGGUUUUCCGUUGAUGAAAUGAGUCAGCUUGCAGCAUACUCUCCCCUCUCAUUGUUCGCUGGUUCGUUGCCUCUCCAUAGGAGGUAGAGAGUGUUUGGGCUCUUUCCCCUGUUUUACCAGUUUACCAGUGUAAUCCUUUACAGCGGCACAAUGAGCUCUCACUCCAGCCGCAGGAUUCUAUUAGGCUCCCAGAGAGACAUGGGAUCUCCAUAAACAUUUUCCAUCUGCCCCUGAACCCCCACCCACCCUCCCUACACAACCUAUACCACCUCAAACACAGCCAAAAUAAUACUUUCCUUUAUGCAUUAAAAGCAGAACUCUGUUUUUUACCCAUCCACAGAGAAGAGAGAACAAAAUCGUACACACGCACAUUACAAACGACUUGUUAAUGCUGUCAGCUUCACUCCCAAAACAGUGGUCUUUUACAACUGCAGAACGAAUAACAAGCAGCCGGGGACAAGCAAAUGCUUGUUAUAUGGUCUUUGGAGGAAAACAGAAGAUGUUUAAAAAAAAACGCUGAAAUCAGAGGAGGAUGUGAUUUGUGCUCCGUGCUGAAAGUACAAUGCCGUUAAAGUGUGCGGAUAAACUCCUCAAUCUGUUAUCUCAUGCUGGUGGUGCAGAUCAGAGUUGGAGCCGGUUUUGUGUUUCAGUGAAAACUUUAAAAAAUGUACAAAAAUAAGUCACUUUAUUUGAAUCCGGUAGAAGAAAGUAGUUCAGGAAAACAGCUCAGCACUAGUAGAAGAGCACAUCUUCAGAUUCAAAUACUAGAAUCAGCAACACAUAGAAGCAGCGUUUAAUGAAAACUCCUUCAACUUUGGGUUUAUUAACUUGGGUGAGCCUUUGAUCAAAGCUGUUUUUGCUUAUCUUGUUUUAUACAUGAGUGUAAGUGUUUUCUUUUCUCCUCUUUUUUCUUUUAAAAGUCACAUGUAUCACUCAUUGUGAAUCUUUGCUCAGAAAAUGUUGCUCCAGCAGUGUGCGGUACUUUGUCUUACACCCACAGCAGCAAUUUUAAGUAAAAACUUUAAGAGUUUUUAGGCAACUGGAAUUAAUAUUGUGCCAUAAAAUAUUUCAACCAGCUAUGCACUCAAAAGUCAGCCUGCUGCCUCAUACAGACUUUUUGACCUCUCGAGACACAGGAAACCAAACGCAUUGGUAGCUGAUUUUAAAGUUUUUUAUGUAUUUUUUAUGUUCUAUACAUGCAGUCAUGGCUAAUUCUGAAAACAAUCCCCCAAGAUUCAGACAAAUAGUUGAGUAAAUAGCUGAUGCCUUGUGUGCUGUUUUAAACUCUGCCUUGAACAAAUAGAGCAUGCAGAAAUAGUUGACACACAUUCACCGUGUUAUAAGAGCAAUCAGGACAAAGACUGCUGUGCUUUUUUUUUUUUAUCAAAUAAAAUUCAUAAAGUGUCCUGUUCUAGUUUCCAAUCAGAAGCAGGAGCUGACUGAGGCGAUGAGCAGCCUUUGAUUGACCUUAAACGAAGAAUCUGGUCCUCGAAAAAAGACAAAUCAGGAUUAUUUGAACGUUUUUUUGUGAAUUGCCAAAUUAAAGCCCCAGUGAUGACUGACCUGAUACUGACUACUGAGGGCUACUUGAUUUAUCUUCUUUAUUGAAUCUGAUUUUGUGCUUGAAAUUGAUGUAACUCUUGAGGCUUCCUCAGAUGUAGAGUUAACCCUUAAGUCUAACUUUGUUAUUCUGUUAAAUGUGAAAGAAUAAUCACCUUUAACUCUUAAAAAUCCCAGCCUGUGUAUUGCUGCUGAAAUGCAUUUUUUUCAACAUCCCCCUGAUUUGUUCAAGUCCAAAGCCACGGGUCACACAGUGCUUCUUUCUCCCCCCCUCCGUCCCUCUCUUGCUCCUCCUCAUACACAAACAUAUCCCUCCAUCUCCUGUCGGCCUCCCUCCUCCUGCCCCUCCGUCCUUCCCUCUCCUCCUAUCUUGAUAAUGCAGCUCUUUUCUCUCUGUCGGGGUGGAGGGCUGCCUGAACCAACAUUGUCCCCUAUGCCGGCUCUAGUGGGGGGCCCUAUUGUGUGUGAAGGAAUGGGGAGUUAACACCCAUGUCUGAACCUGCUCAAUGGGUGCAUUGUGUCUGAAUCUUCCCUCGGCUCACCCAAUCUCACCCUGCGUCUCUCCUGCCCUUGCACGGGCCAAGGAAGGCAGGGUGUCCUCCAUGUCCUCAGCCAUUAAAAACAGAAAACAUAAACACAACUCAAAACUCACAAACACUCAAACUGGUAUUCUCAGCUCUUUGCUUUCUGUGUCCGGUUGAGUUUUCCAGCAAACUGCAGUGGGUUCAACACACUCCUGCACAAAAAGUGGGGGGUCAGUGGGUGCAUGGUUACUAAAGGAGGCCCCUGCGUCUCGUUUUUGUUAUAGAACAGAACAGAGAGAUGUAUAAAGGACAAUAUUGUAUUAGCAUGAUAACAGGAUUCAGAUGCUUUUUGAAAUAUCUCGAGUUGUAGGGCGUCGAUUGAAUCGGCUCAAAUUAUUACGUUAGAUUCAGCAAAGUUUCAAAGCAAAUCGUUCAAAAGAAUCUGAGGCAUGAUUAAAAAAGAUAUUAGACAUAAUGUUGAACCCUAUUGAAGUAUAAAGUGGAUUUUUUAUUGUGAGUUUUAAUGAGAGUGAUUUAUAUUUCAGGUUAAACAUUUAAAACAAUGAGCAGAAAUGGACUCGUCUGUUUCAGUAUUCUGAACAUUUAUUUGUUUCUGUAGCAGCGAGAGCCUUGGGGCAGGUUACAAAAGAGCAAGUUGGUGUUUUCUUCCCACAUAUUUUUAAUCAAAGUGUUAGUGUUUACAUUUGCAUUUGCAUUGAGCACAGGGAGGCUGAAUGCCAAAGGUGAGAUUUUGAAAAACACUCUAUUUUCCCUUUUUUUGCAGAUGGAAACAAGGGUGGGUGGUUGGAAGGCUGCAUAAAGGCUGCUGGAUGACUGAACUCAGAGACCCGGUGCAGCUCAUCAUCAUUGCCACGGGCUUUCGUCUUCCUCCUCUUUCUCCUGUGGCCCCGUACCAUUCCAUCCAGGGGUCCAGCAGAGCCAGCGAAGCCCAGGCGGGGAGCUUGUGAGUGGGCUGGGAAGGAUGGAGAAGCUCCCUGAAGGCUCGGAGCACCUCUGGAGCUAGCGGCGUGCAGGAGAAAUCAAUAUGAAACACAGAGCGCUGCACAGCUCUGAGUGGGGUUUCCUGUGUUAGUCUGCGGCCUCGGGGCCCGCAGACCUCCAAAGGACAGGCCCUGCAUGGCCCCUCUCAGCUGCAGAACCGGACCUCAGUUCCGAUCUCCGCUGGCUGUGUGUGGUUCUGCUGAAGGGGAUUGCUCCCCAAAUAAUACCCAGAAUGUGGAGAGACCGCCGAGAGGGAUAUUUCUUUUUCUCUUGAUUUUUCCUUCCUUCAUAAGAUUGACAUAUCCCCCACCUCCUGCCUCCAGCUGCUUAAAAACCAGUUUGGGAGAUCUGCUUUGGACUCUCUCUCCGUUCUCAACUCACCCGCUGUUUAUUCCCUGACCAGUUUUUAGAUUUGACAAAGAGACAGUACGAUCUUUAUUUUCUCCUCCACUUUCUCUUGGCUUGCAGUUACCAUGGUGAGCUGUAGAUGUGUCUGUUACGACCAGAAACGCAGGUACACGAAGUUUCAGCAUCUUUUUUUUUUUUUUUUGCUCCUCCAUGAUGUCUGCUCUUCAAUGCAAGACUGUAAAAAAAAAGUUCCCAACCACAGAGAGGGAGGAAGAUCACAGAGCAGAGAGACCCUGACACUCUGUAGAGGAGCUGGUGAAAUGGCAAGUAUCUCUCUUAAGCACUCAACAUAUUCCACUCCAUGAACAGCUCUCAGUGUGCUCUCAUUAAGUCAAACCCUGCCUCAUAUGGUGCUGCAUGUGUGUGUUUGUGCUCCCUUGUACCUCACAUGGUUCAGGGGGAUGUCAAUUACAGCUUCAAACAGAGGUUUCCCAAACUCUCAGAAAUACUUAGAAGUUAAAAAAGUUAAUCGGCAUAUUUUCAUCAAACCCCUCUGAUCAGUUGAAAAAACGUGUUUCUGUAUUCUCCAGCACAGAGCGCUCUGUUUGUGUGUGUAAGUGGUCUGUAUACGCUCCCAUUUGAACGGGUUUGCCAGUGUGCAGCAGCAGCAGCAGCAGCAGCACCCACAGCUCGUCAUCACAGCGAUGCAGUACGCCUGUUCCCAUCCAGAUGGGCACAGAUUCAGACAAAAUGGCCGCCAGUCUUCCCACUCUGCCAAAGAUGGCGGGCGCAACUCUGUCGCCUGCCAUCUGUGCAUCCGUUAGCUGUUGUCCAAUGCAAAUCAGGGCUAAUUGCAUUUGCAUAACCUCCAAACCGUCAGGUCGUUUGCACGCUCUGGUAAUUGCUCGUAUGAAGCGACGGCGUAGAUGACGUUCAAGCAGAAGCGCGUUCGUGUUUUAGCGUGUUUUGGGGCAUAAGUGUGUGGGUUGUUUUUUUUUAGGUUGUGGGUUUUGGCGUGCUGAAACAUGUCUGAUCGCUCCCUGAGAUCAAGAGUGUGGUCGUUCUGUGCCAUAUGGCGUGUUUGCGUGUGAUUCCCUUGCAUGCAAAUGUGACACUGUACUGAAAGAUUAAGUCAAAGCUGUUUUAGAAUCAGAGCUCUGUCACGCACACACACACAGACACACACACAUACAUAAUACACAGAUGAAAGCAUUAAGCAAAUAGAGCAGCUCAGACAUGCUCACAGGCUUUAAUUAAAAAGGGAUCCAUAGGCCCAACAAACUCUAGACACACCGCCAUCGUAAUAGUCUCAUAUUCAUGCACGUUGGUGUCUGGUUACCAUGGCGCUAAACAAAUGGGGGAAAUGGUUAAAUUAGCCGCACAUGACACGAUAAAUAGGUGAUAAAUUCUCCUGGUGAAGAAUGAUAUCAGUGUUAUUUCAAAGGAAUACAGAGUGAGACAGAAACGAUAGAUCUGCUGAAGGAUCAGCUGGAAAUAUUUCACCCAGAGAUCCGAUAACCUGGUGAAUACUGUUCGGAUCUGUUUAUGUAAUCAGACUGAAGCGCUGUGAAAUUGAAUAUCUCACGUUUCUGCUUUUCCACCACUGUGUCGCUUUCGAAGUCUCAUUUGAUUGAGCCGCUCUUGUUUUUGGGGGGCGUUUAUUCAUGUGAUGAGAGUCGUCUUUGUAACAAGGCGGCGCUCGUAUUUGCAUUCGCCCAUCGGGGCAGCUGCAGUGCUGUACAGUUAUGUCUACUGUGGGCAGCAAAAUGGCGGUCACGCAAAUCACAGGGUCUGUCUGCUGGUCGUGGGAGCUGAGGCGAGAGAGGAGGGGGAGGAGGAGGAGGAGGGGGAGGAUUUCAGGGCGUCUGGUUUGAGAAUAUGAGGGAAGGUUGCAGGGUCUAGACUAUGGGGUUGGGGGGGUCGCUCAUGAGGGGAUGAUGGAGUGGGGGGGGGUAUUUGUAGAGGUUAUUAUUUGAAGGGGGGGGUGUCUGGUUUUAGGAGGAGCAAUUAAUGAAGGAGUGAAGAGGAGAGGAGGGGGUUUAGUUUGUCUGCAUUUGUGAACAUGUGUCUGUGUCUCGGACAUUUGCAUAGAGCAAAGAGGGCGUCCAUAUGCCGCGCGGCACGGGGAGGCGAGGCGGGUCUGUCAUUUCAGGGUCUGAGCUGAGCGAAGACCUUGCCAAACACCCAGGAACACACACUUUACCACAGUCCUCACAAUAACUCUGAAGCACUCCUACCAUGCUAGAGCCUCAUGUUAGCAGCAUCACUGUUUCUGUCCUUUUUACCAGCCAAUGAGGGGACGCGGAGCUGCUUUCAGCCAAUAACGGCGCGUAAAGACCCAGGAAGAGGAAGGGAAGGCGCGGAGAGUUUACCCUUGAUGUGCCAGGCGAGAGAGGAUAAACAAUAAAACGCUUCUGCGCGGAGAGAGAGAGAGAGAGAGAGAGAGCACAGGGGGAGGAAGAAAAUGAGCAUCACUCUGCAUUCAUAACCCAGUUGGAAGGCAGAAAGAUAGAAAAUAAAGCAGCUGAUUAUGGGGAAAUAGAGAUCGAACGUCACACAUUUUCUUUGUAUGCCAGACACAGGGUGGUAGAAUGAUUACACGUCAAUCUGAGGGGUACAAAGGCAAAGAAAAGCCCCCCCUCCGCUGAAAAGAAAUGGAGUCAUGAAGACGGCGAGAGCUGCCAGGCAUAAAAACAUAACAAAACUCUUUAACAGGAGCGGAAAGAGGAACAAAAUAUUCCUUCUAAAAUGAUCUCUGUUGAAGAGUGCACUCUUAAUGUGAGGCAAAAAUGAUCAUAAGAGUGUUUCAUUUUCUGCUGUAAAAUCAGACAUGGGAUUUUUAAAACCUAGAUUUAUUAUUCAUGUGUUUAAACAGGACCUUCGUUAUAUCGUUGCUACACAAACGAUAUUCCAGUGUUGCCUUUAGCUCAUGAAAAGAGACACAGAAGAAUUACAGCAUUUUUAAAAAGUCUGUCUCAUAUUUUUAGAGUCACAAAAAAUCUGACUUUAUUUAAUUCAGACCUUUAAUUACUACACAUUAUAUUAAUUUUACAUAAUAGAUUUCAGUUUUUAAUAAUUGCAGUUCUCUUUUUAUAAAAUUUAAACAUAUCCGAAUUAAAGUAGUUCAUUUCAAGGCGAGAGGAAAGGAAAGAAAGGUCUCUCUCUCUCUCUCCAUCUGAGAAGAAAUGAAGUCAUGUAUAGACAGGUCGUGGUCGUCAAAAGGCCUUAAACAUGCAGACAUCCAGACACAGACACAAUGCAGAUCUCCAUAAUGUGGCACAUGAAUACUGGCACGUUUAAACCACGAUCGUCUCGGAGCUGAGGGUCUGAGUGGAGCGUGGGAAUGUGUGGCGAACAUAUGCAGAACAGUCAGGCGCUGGCGAGACGGCCCUGCUAGCAUGAAUGCUGUCGUAGCAGGUGAAAAGAGGACCCUAGAGUUCAGGGGUCAAGGCCAGUGCAGGGGCUGUCUGGCUCAUGUGUGUGUGUGUGUGUGUGUGUGUGUGUGUGCGUGUGUCUAUGUGUGUGUGAGAGAGAGAGACACGCACACACUCUGGUUGUCGUCUGGGUCUUGAUGCUAAUGAAGUAGCCCGGCUGUUUGAUAAGCACUGCUGUCUAUUGUUAGCCCAGUCUGGUGCUUCAGAGAGGACUAGACGGGGUGUAGGUUUGGACAAGAGCUCCUUCAUCAUGUUCUAGUCGCAGCAGAGCAGCAGACAGGCAGAUCGACAGGCAGCCUGAAGUCAGGCCUCCCCUGCUGAAACUCUGAUUGUGUUGUCUAGAAGACUUCUGUGCUUUCUCUGACGUUCCCCCUCUGAGUGACACGUUGGUCUAGGGCUCUGCAGUGUGGUGCCGCUCUUUGUUUCUCCGUGGAUUGAUGGCAGAUUCGCACGACAACUCUGCAUUUCAGUGACUGGUGAAAAUUGUCAAGAUCACAUAGGCUUUAAGUAUAUAUUUAAAUAACAGUUUGCAGUUUUUUUUCUGCAGCUGUGACUUGUGUCAUAUCAAACCUUGGAUACCCUCUAACUUCAGACCUUUGUAACAUCUUUGGUAUCGUCAGAGCGUCAACUAAUCCCACAAAAGCCUCUGUCUAAAUUAAAUGAUUAAUCCUCAUAUUAGCAAAGCUGUAAACAGAACUAUUUAAAGCAGCACUAUUGGACACACACUCAUACAAGAUGUUGGCUCCUUUGUUGCUGUCAACCUGGGCUCCGUGGUUUGUUUUGAUUUAAUACCCAGCCUUCCAUGAAUACCAAUUAGACAUCAGAUGUGUACUAAUCUGCGGCUUAAAUUAGUCUCAGACGUCCGCCUGGUUUAUUCCUGUUUAAGCAAGGUUCAAAAGAAAUAAGAGUAAAUAGUUGUUUUAAGGAACAACUUGAAAAGGUCAUAUUUAUUUCUUUAGUUUUGUGUUUUUUUUCAUGGGUUUUGUCGAUCAUCACGUCGAUAGUCUUACACUUUUGAACCUCAGAGUUGAAAAAGUUUUGUUCCCAUCCAGAGCUUUGUCAGAUUCAUGUUUCAGCAGGAUUGUACCCACAGCAGAUUCAUAGUUGACACCUCCCGGUCGACGUAAAGGUGCGUUACUUCUAGAUACCCCUUUAAGAGUUAAAGCAUUACCUCAUCAGGAGCUGUGUAAAGGCAGGAAGUGAGUGAAUGGCUGAAGGAGCGCAGUGCUAACUCUCUCACUCCUUUAUGCCUGUGGCUGCAGGCUUCAUUAGCUCGACAGAAAGGCACCGCUCGCUCCCCGUCCCCUCAAUAGACCCAUAGACCUGUCUCGCUGGCACAGGCUUGCUCCAGUGUGCAGCGUAUGUGUGUUUGAGUGUGUGUCCCUGAACCAUUCACACACCUCCAGGCUUCAUAGUUUCUCAGUCAUGCCUAAAGGAAGCUGGGCAUUGACACUUUUUUGAGACUCACAUCUUUGUCCCCCUCCACCUCUUGUUUUCUGCCACUCGCUCUCCAUUAUUCUCCAUUUCACUAUUUUACUCAUUGUGUUUUUUUUUCUCUUUCAGUUGCUUUUACUCCAAAAUGUCUCAGAUCUCUAACAGAACGGAAUAUUUAGUCAGGGACCAUAUGUCGUACUCGGCUCAGACUUUUGUGUCCUUGCAGCAGUUUGACGCCAUUUCCAACCUGAAUCAUUUUACUUUAGUUUGAAUUUCCCUGUCAUUCUCCAAACUUUGAGUGAAAUCUCCGUUUACUAAACAUUAUAUUGAAAAAUAAAGAGGCUCUAUAACAAUUAAAACUACUUCACAAAAAAUCUAAAACUAGCACUGUGAAAAAAAAGCAGCUUUGGCAGUUUUUUAGAUGGUAAAAUGGAUCAACUGAGUCCUUUUUGAAUGGAUUUGUUUAGCUUUUGCGUUUAGCUGCAGUACUGGAGAUAAUGAAUCAUCAGUAUACCUCUAACCCCCCUUAAAAUAAAUAGGUCAACCAAAUCUAAUGCUGUUGUGCUGCAUUAAACUAUACUGUAUUUUCUGUCCAGUCUUUCCUGUAUCUGUGAUGACACUUGACCUUUAGUUUAUGUCUGUAAACCAUUUUGGACAGUGGGGGUAAAAAAAAAUGAGCCAUCGUCUUAAUGAGAUGGAAACGCAGAUAUCGUCACAGGUCCGACUGAUGCAUAUUCCUGAAAUCCUCCCCAUAGCGCCUCUGUUUCCCAUCAGGCACUGAGCUGAGGCAGCUACCAGGGGUCCUCAUCCAUUGAGGAGGAGGAGGAGGAGGAGGAGACACGUGCUGCGUCCGAACUGCCCGCUCGGAUACUACAUGCUACUGCUACGUACUACUGCUAGAUCCUACUCCUACAUACUAAAAACGUUGGCCCAAUUCGGACACACUAGACGAGCGGUGGGGAAAGACGACCCCCGCAGGCAGAGAGUAGGUACUGCGCCCGUGCAGACAGUGGUAACUGAAGCUCCUCAUCUGCGGGCCUGGCUGUAGUACUGCAGCUGUGCAGUUUAAUGAUGGAAUAAGUGAGCUUUACCUCCAUGAUGUCGCCACAUAUUUGCUCAUAAAAUGAUUACUUGGGCAAAUAUGACACCAUGACAUGACAAAGAGAUACAACCGCACAUUUUUUAGGACAGUGUGUGAAGUUACAUGAAACUUAAAUCUGUACUGCUGCGGUCCCGCCUGCUGCUGCUGCUGCUCCGACAUGGUGCGCGCUGCUGUGGCCAGCCGGCGUUCGCGACACUUUUAAAUAGGCAGAGCAGCUGGUGGCGCUAGCAUCACAUGCGCUUCUACAACUUUUAAGAGGACGAAGAAGAAGCCCGCGGUGCAUUUUGGGUCAGUAGCAUGCCCGUAGGAUGCACCGAGACCAACCUACAAUGUGGGCGUGUCUAGCAUCUGAAGUAGUAUCUGAAGUAGCAUGCUACUCGCUCCGGUGGCCAAUUCGGACAUGCUAGAUACUACUUCGACUACUACUUCGACUACUACUUGGCAAUUCGGACGCAGCUACGUACACGAGGAAAGGUGCUAGCAUUCAUGAUUAGCAUGUGCAGCCGCCAUCGUGUGCUGAGCUCAUUGUUGUUGAUGCUGCAUUAAUGAGGCCGGUUUAUAUCAGACGGUCUGUUCACGACACACAAUCAUGAACACGCAUUAAACAGAGCCUGGGUGUGACACAUGACAGCACGCACCCCACACUCGCCCUGUUUUUAGACUGCUCAUGAGUCAGCACCUGCCUUCACAGGUGCAAAAUUUCAUUGGUGCCAUUUUUUGUAUCAUAAAUUAGUUUAUAUUGAAUAAAGUCAAAGUGUAAAAUAAUUGAGGGGGUUUUAAACACACCUGAUGGUGAUUUUAAAUCGUCGAUGUCAGGUCCAGUCUGUGUCAAAGCUCUGAAGAAAAUAAACUCUGAAAGUAGAGUAAUGAAAAGUUUGUUAUAGUCACAGAAAACUGCAGCUUUGACUCAGAAAUAGAAACCGUCAUAGAGAGAGAGAGAGAGAGAGGGAGGGAGAGAAAUGAGAGUACAACACUGUGGCCUGGUUUGUGGUUCCAGAGGGAUAGAGACACUUUCCUGUUCCCUGCAAAAUGAGAUAGGAUGAGCUCUUUUAACACAGACACAAAUGCAUACACACUAACACACUCAAACACACACACACACACACACCUUGUUCAUUCCUUCUAACUGUGCCUGGUCUACAUUUGUGCAGCUUUGUUGUCGCGGCAGCAGGAAACUGAUUGCCCCAGAUUUAAGCGAGCCUCCUUCACAUAUGCAGCAGUUAGCUGUCAACUCUCAAAACGACUCCGAUCAUCAAUUUUUUCUUUUUUUGUUUGGUUUUCUGUGUCACUUUUCAUCGCAAGUGUGAGUGUGUGUGUUUGUAACAGACAGUCUGACCUCUGACCCCGACCCGCUGGGAGGCUUUCAUUCCCAUAGGCUGGGGGCUGUGGUUGUCUCGCUCUCUCUCUCCCUCUCACACACACACACACUGCCGGCUCUAUUGGUUAAGCGGUCCCUCGGCCACCCAUUCAGGGCUCAGUCACGGCCACUUAGAGCGCAGCAGACACAGGGAUUCAGAUGAGCUGUGAUCCAAUGACAUGUAUUUAUAAUGAGGGGGCUGUGGGGACGUCUUUGUUUGAUGGACACAAUGUCUGCACAAGAGUGUGUUUGAGUGUGUUAUAAGUUUGUGUGUUUGGUGGAGAGGGGGAAUUUCUGUGUCUUUUUACACUUUCUCUACUCAUUCAACUCUCACACACACAUUCAGACUUUUUCUUUCUUGCCUUCAAAAUUUGCAGAAAAGACUGACUUUAUUAUUUAGCCUGAAAAAAAUCAAUCAAGAACUUGCUGGGACAGCUUCUAGUGAAAAUUAAGUCUCUUGUUAAAGAAAGUGAGUGAAAUAAGAGUGAAGUUUACAAUCACUUUUGCUGCCCCAAUGGCAGAUAUUUUCACACAUUACAAGCGUCUCAGGUCUUUUUAUUUUUAGUUUCCAACGUCUUGAAAAAAGACUUUUAUCUGGUGGCCUAUAUUAGUGCUCUUGAAAUAUUUGAGAAACACACUUGGCUUAGUGUGAGGCUGUGGAGUAUGAUCUAUUGAUGAUCACAUUUUUCUCUUGUUUUAUGAAGGGCCUGUGUCCACUAACGGUAUCUUUUGCAUAGGCAGCACCUAUUUUCUGAUAAAUAAACAAACAAAUAAUAGAGCUCAGUAUUUAAGUACAGAACAUCCUUGGUUCCCUGUCAGCUGUUUUUCUGUUGCUGCACUUAGAGUUGAAAUAGUCCAACUUUUUAGUACUAACAUACUCUUCAGAGUAAAUCUUUCAUUGAUCAAAAUAGUCAAGAAGAGGCGGGACUUCUGAUAUCAACUUACUCAAUAACAAUAGCCACAAAGCAGAGGCAGAAGUACUGAACAUCGUUUGUUAUCCAACAGCAGUGAGUAAGACGUGAGUGAGAAAGUGGGGUCUUGUGGGUGCUGCCAGUGCAGAGACUGCUGUCGGUGGACAUAGGCCCUAAAAAAAGCUUUGACUAGACUGUUCUGAUGUUCAGUUCAGGCCAGGAUUUAUAAGAUUUGCAGCAAUAGUUAUCUUAUAAAUUAAAUUUUUGAUACCAAUAUAUUUUGAGGAAAUCAAAAUUAAAAAGUUUACACCAUCAGCUAUAUAAUCACUUUUUUAAAACAGUUUAUGGUGACAGAAACAGUAAUGAAGUAUUUCGUGAAUAAAAAGUGUAGAUGAUUUUUGAACUAUGAUUAUUUUGAAGCUCACACCAGUCUGAGUCUUGUUAGCCAGCCAAAUCAAGGACAGUAAUAACUUUUUUGAUAAGGAGGAAACUGUCAUUAUUUUUUUGUCUUUUACAAACUAAGUAAUUUUAGAAAUGUGUGGCAGUAUCAUUAAAACAGUGAAAACACAAAUCAUUGUGAGUCCACCCAAUACAAGUACGUCUAUGUGUGCUGAGGGAGUGUGGUGUGUAGUCAGAGCUGCAGUCUGAUCUCUGCCUACAUUAGUCAGUGGUUGGGACAGCGUGGGCAGAAGAAGAGCCCUGGAGGGUCCUACAAGCUGAGGAAGGCCCCUCAUAAUGACCAGUGUCUGAAACACUGCCGCUACCCAGGGACCAGUGUCUGAUUCUGAUGUACUCAAUCACAACCAUAAUCACAACCCCAGCCUCCUCACAGCCCACACUCAACUCCAUUUUUGCUGCCUAUCAGUCUGAACUGUUGGAGUAUAAUCAGAAAUUUACAAAGUGUCAUUCCACCUUUUCCAGCCUGACGUAGAUUGGGACUUUACCAAAGGUCUUACACAUUAUUUAAAAGUGCAUCUGCUGUUGUUGUUUUUUUUUAUAUUAUCUAUGAUGAUUAAAAGUCUCGACAAAUGAGGAUGAAGUCCCUUAUCUUGGCUGGUUGACUUCUUAUCUUGUUCAGUCAUGACGGUGCAAAACCAGACAGUGGAAGUGUGUCGGCUGUCUGUGUGUGUCUGCUCUCUCGGGUGUAAUCAUGGGUUCCCCGGCUGACUGCGUGUCCCAUAGUGAUCUCAGACUUCAGAGGUCAGAGGUCAUUUAGUGUGGGCUCCGAUAUAGACAUUAUGUAGUCAUGACGAGGGACUACCACUUGAACCAACACUGUCCCAUUUUUUUCUGUGUUAUGUUGAAACUGCUGCGUCAGCCUGUGGUGUGACAGAUGGACAGAAUUGUUCACUGUUAGAGCUCAGGUGUACAUUUAUCAGACGUCUGUGGUUCUUAAUUUAAAAAUACAGAAAGAUUUUUGUUGUGCAUUUUCUUAGCUGCACUCGCUAAUUUCCUCCAUUGUCUUGUCUCUCUGCAGGUUCAACAAUGUGAGGAAAAUUCCUGGUGUAAAAAACAUCGAACUCAAACUUGACCGGACUGGAUUACAUGUUUUAUUCUGGAAAAUGAAGGACUCUUACAUACACGAAUAUAUUUUUGUUAAAAAAAGGGAAUACUUUGCUUUGAGCUCCUGUAAACCCGUGAAGAUGAACCUCUAAAUCUGGACUGAAUCAAAGAAGAAGACAAGGAGAAUUUUGUCAUGUAACAACAUUUUUUACACCAGCUGUACCUUCUUUUUCUGACAGUGAAAAUAUUUGUGUGUGAAUAAUCAAUAAAUGGGAAUGGAAGAUAAGCAACAUUAAAUGUUUUAUUUUUCAACUGUAUCAAUAAUUAUCAAUGGUGAAUAGUAAGAGUCAGUUUACUCGAGUACUGUAACACAUUUUUUGAGUAUUUGUAUUUCUGUAUCUGGCUGAUAUUUGAGUCCUCUACAUUUUCUACGAUUCUUCUCAUUUCUUGCUAUUUUUGCCCUGAAGUCAGCUAAUAAACUUCCUUUUCUUUUCUGAAAUCCAAAUGUUAAGACGUGCUUGUUGAGUUCUUGUUGUUGCUGUAUCUUUCAAUCGUACAUCUGUAUUGUUAAAGAGACAAACGCAAACACAGAUCAGAUCAGGCAGUUCAUUUUAAUGUGGUGUUGAUUGCUACAGCAGUAAUUGUUUGCUCUGUUUACCUCUUAAGAACUUCAUUAUGAUUGACAAACAUUAGCUUUUUCAAUGCUUUCUUAAUCCAUGUCAUAAAAAACGGCCUGGUGAGCAUUUAAAGUUGUAUUUUAACAAAAUAAGCUGUGGGUUUAAAAAUUGUGUUAGUCUGUAUUAGUAAAAAAUGUAAACAUAGCAUGGGAAUUAAUACAGACCAUCACAUACUUGAGCAUGGGUACCAUUUUCAUUCUGUAAAACAUCGGAAUACGUACUUAUGAAAUCACAGACUUUUUCCAUUAUAGCACUUGGAGGACUUAAAUCAAAUAUAUUCGAGGUGAUGAUUACACAUUGAUCUUCUGAUCAGGAUAAUAGCAUCAUAUAAUAGGUUGUCACAGAGUUUUGAAAAGAAGGUUUUGUUUGACAUAUUUCAGGUGCUAACACCCCUGUAAAGAAGUAAAAAAAAAACAAGUGUGUCUCAGCAGCUACACAGUUAUCAAGUUCAAAAGGCCUUGAAGCUGCUGAAAUGGCUGUUUGAUAAAACUUCACCCAGUAAAGCCUGGCUGACUGUUACACUGGUGAUCAGGCGUUUUUUUUUCCCGCCAUUUCUCCAUGUAAUUUUGGACUUGAGUAUAUGAGUUAAAAAUGUAAAAGAUGUUUUUUAAAUCAAGAAAACAUUACAGAAUAUGCACCCAUAUAUUCUUGAUUGUACUCAUGCAUGAUGAAAAUAAAAUGUUUUGGGAUUUUUUUAUCAAGUACAUUAAAUACUGAAGUAUCUUUAAAAGACUCCAGUAACAAAUGACUGAGCAUCUUUCACUUUUGUUGGAGAGAUAUUUGACGAGGUUUAUCUAUUAUUUGACUCACAUGAUGAAGUGGUGAACAUUGUCCACCAAUGAAAAUGUAAUUGGAUAUAUAAUAAUUUGUUACCUUUUCUCUCAGGUACUUACAAUCAAGCUAAAGUGGUUUUUUCACCAAGAGUUUAAAAUCAUGACGAAAUUCAUCACCUCUUCUUUUAAAGUUUGAGUUUUCACUAAUGCUCCUCUUGUCAAGAAUGAGUGCACUGAAAAGUCUUUGACACACAACCAGUAACUAACGGAUAGAUCAGCAUUGCUUUGGUUUAUUUAUAUAAAUUUGUAUGUUUUCUUAUUCACAUGGUGAAAAGUCUGUGUUUUUUUUACAAUUAUUUAUACGGUCAAUAAAAAGAGGACUGACAGAC